RNAcentral lists this ribosomal RNA (253 nucleotides) under uncultured bacterium. Its description in RNAcentral is "partial 16S ribosomal RNA". It matches the Rfam family "Bacterial small subunit ribosomal RNA", at positions 524 to 776 of the family's 1533-position model. The record is from RNAcentral.
UACGUAGGGGGCAAGCGUUGUCCGGAUUCAUUGGGCGUAAAGAGCGUGUAGGCGGCCAGGUAGGUCGGUUGUGAAAACUGGAGGCUCAACCUUCAGAGGUCGACCGAAACCAUCUGGCUAGAGUCCGGGAGAGGAGAGUGGAAUUCCUGGUGUAGCGGUGAAAUGCGCAGAUAUCAGGAGGAACACCAAUGGCGAAGGCAGCUCGCUGGGACGGUACUGACGCUAAGGCGCGAAAGCGUGGGGAGCGAACAGG